Long non-coding RNA from Arachis duranensis, 544 nucleotides. RefSeq lists it as uncharacterized. The record is from RefSeq and is a predicted model, not a curated record. Lineage: Eukaryota; Viridiplantae; Streptophyta; Magnoliopsida; Fabales; Fabaceae. The transcript has 3 exons.
GAGAAUUUUGACACUAAUUUCGAAAAAAAUGGUCCAAGAUUGGACCGAACGGACCGAACCGGUUGAACCGGGUCCAAACCGGGCCAUCGGUCCAACCGGGCCAUCACAUUAAAUGAGCCCAACAGCUCUUCUCUCCCACAUUUCACCCGAUAGCAGCGUGAAGCACCCAGGGAAGAGAAGUAGCGCCGAACCUUUACGGCAAACUUCCGUACGCCGUAACUUCUCCGUCCGAGCUCCGAUCGCCGCACCGUUUGCGGCCACGCGUCCACUGCGUCGAGCUCUACAUUUCUACCGGAACAAUUUUACUGGAUCCAAUUAGCUUGAGAGAAACGUUCACUCUUGCUUAUGUGAAGCUUGGGUAAGGUUGUGAAUAAAUAAUUGGAGCUUGAAAUUGUGAAUAUUGGAACUUGGAGGAAGCGGAUUAGUUGAGGUUUUGAGGGCUGUGUUCUUUUAGGAAAAUUUUCUUGGAAUAACACUUGGGAAUCGGCUAAGGUAUGGUUUAGGUUUCUUGCAUUUAAUAUAUAAUGUUCUGUGAAAACUUAGG